GAAGAUGCAAUCUACCCGCUGCUAGACGGAGAGACCCCGUGAACCUUUACUGUAGCUUUGCAUUGGACUUUGAAGUCACUUGUGUAGGAUAGGUGGGAGGCUUGGAAGCAGAGACGCCAGUCUCUGUGGAGUCGUCCUUGAAAUACCACCCUGGUGUCUUUGAGGUUCUAACCCAGACCCGUCAUCCGGGUCGGGGACCGUGCAUGGUAGGCAGUUUGACUGGGGCGGUCUCCUCCCAAAGCGUAACGGAGGAGUUCGAAGGUUACCUAGGUCCGGUCGGAAAUCGGACUGAUAGUGCAAUGGCAAAAGGUAGCUUAACUGCGAGACCGACAAGUCGGGCAGGUGCGAAAGCAGGACAUAGUGAUCCGGUGGUUCUGUAUGGAAGGGCCAUCGCUCAACGGAUAAAAGGUACUCCGGGGAUAACAGGCUGAUUCCGCCCAAGAGUUCAUAUCGACGGCGGAGUUUGGCACCUCGAUGUCGGCUCAUCACAUCCUGGGGCUGUAGUCGGUCCCAAGGGUAUGGCUGUUCGCCAUUUAAAGUGGUACGUGAGCUGGGUUUAAAACGUCGUGAGACAGUUUGGUCCCUAUCUGCAGUGGG
RNAcentral lists this ribosomal RNA (597 nucleotides) under Neisseria gonorrhoeae. RNAcentral's name for it is "bacterial LSU rRNA". It matches the Rfam family "Bacterial large subunit ribosomal RNA", at positions 2055 to 2651 of the family's 2925-position model. The record is from RNAcentral. Lineage: Bacteria; Pseudomonadati; Pseudomonadota; Betaproteobacteria; Neisseriales; Neisseriaceae.